This 1490-nucleotide ribosomal RNA is filed under the name metagenome. RNAcentral's name for it is "bacterial SSU rRNA". It matches the Rfam family "Bacterial small subunit ribosomal RNA". The record is from RNAcentral.
AGAGUUUGAUCCUGGCUCAGGAUGAACGCUGGCGGCGUGCCUAACACAUGCAAGUCGAACGAAGCGGUUUUGGUGAAGUUUUCGGAUGGAACCGAAAUUGACUGAGUGGCGGACGGGUGAGUAACGCGUGGGUAACCUGCCUCACACAGGGGGAUAACAGUUAGAAAUGACUGCUAAUACCGCAUAAGCGCACGGAGACGCAUGUCUUUGUGUGAAAAGCCUUAACGGUGUGAGAUGGACCCGCGUCUGAUUAGCUAGUUGGCAGGGUAACGGCCUACCAAGGCGACGAUCAGUAGCCGACCUGAGAGGGUGACAGGCCACAUUGGGACUGAGACACGGCCCAAACUCCUACGGGAGGCAGCAGUGGGGGAUAUUGCACAAUGGGGGAAACCCUGAUGCAGCGACGCCGCGUGAGUGAAGAAGUAUUUCGGUAUGUAAAGCUCUAUCAGCAGGGACGAAAAUGACGGUACCUGAGUAAGAAGCCCCGGCUAACUACGUGCCAGCAGCCGCGGUAAUACGUAGGGGGCAGGCGUUAUCCGGAUUUACUGGGUGUAAAGGGAGCGUAGACGGCGAAGCAAGUCUGAAGUGAAAGCCCGGGGCUCAACCGCGGGACUGCUUUGGAAACUGUUUUGCUGGAGUGCUGGAGAGGCAGGCGGAAUUCCUAGUGUAGCGGUGAAAUGCGUAGAUAUUAGGAGGAACACCAGUGGCGAAGGCGGCCUGCUGGACAGUAACUGACGUUGAGGCUCGAAAGCGUGGGGAGCAAACAGGAUUAGAUACCCUGGUAGUCCACGCGGUAAACGAUGAAUGCUAGGUGUUGGAGAGCAAAGCUCUUCGGUGCCGCCGCAAACGCAGUAAGCAUUCCACCUGGGGAGUACGUUCGCAAGAAUGAAACUCAAAGGAAUUGACGGGGACCCGCACAAGCGGUGGAGCAUGUGGUUUAAUUCGAAGCAACGCGAAGAACCUUACCAAGCCUUGACAUCCCCCUGAAUAGAGGGUAAUGCCUUUAGUCCUUCGGGACAGGGGAGACAGGUGGUGCAUGGUUGUCGUCAGCUCGUGUCGUGAGAUGUUGGGUUAAGUCCCGCAACGAGCGCAACCCUUAUCCUUAGUAGCCAGCAGUAAGAUGGGGACUCUAGGGAGACUGCCAGGGACAACCUGGAGGAGGGCGGGGAUGACGUCAAAUCAUCAUGCCCCUUAUGGCUUGGGCUACACACGUGCUACAAUGGCGCAGACAGAGGGAAGCGAGGGCGCGAGCCGGAGCGAAUCCCAAAAAGAGCGUCUCAGUUCGGACUGUAGUCUGCAACCCGACUACACGAAGCUGGAAUCGCUAGUAAUCGCGGAUCAGAAUGCCGCGGUGAAUACGUUCCCGGGUCUUGUACACACCGCCCGUCACACCAUGGGAGUCAGCAACGCCCGAAGUCAGUGACCCAACCUGUGAAGGAGGGAGCUGCCGAAGGCGGGGCGGGUAACUGGGGUGAAGUCGUAACAAGGUA